RNAcentral lists this long non-coding RNA (10304 nucleotides) under Malus domestica (apple). The record is from RNAcentral. Lineage: Eukaryota; Viridiplantae; Streptophyta; Magnoliopsida; Rosales; Rosaceae.
UGGGGUUUAUAUAUAUAGUUAGCGUGCAUCAAGACGCCACGACCAAAACACCACUUUAGGAUGCCAUUUCCAAAUUUUAAAAAUGCUGAGGAGUGGAUGGCUGAAUGACAUGUCGAACGACUGCUCACAUGUUUUGGAGUUCGUCCCCCAAAUUUCUUCAAAAUAGGUAGUAGGCUUCAGUCUAUGGACAUGAUGGCGUGAGGAACCAUGAUUUGCUUCAAGGUACCAGGUUAGUGAAAAGUUAUGGUUUUCUUUCAUGUCAUGUCAGAACACAAUUGGGAAGAGUGAGAAGUCAUGAUUUGCUUUUAUGUCAUGUCAUAAUACAAUUGGGAAGACAAAAGUUUUGUCUAUUUAUUUAGGUCGAGCUCAGCUAACUCGUCGAAUAUACUUUUCAAGUUAUGUAACCAAGUCUAUGGACUUAACUUCUAAUUCAGUGUCGGCCGAAUCUGGGUUUUAUUGUUAUUUUGUUUGGCCAACUUUUGCCGAGCUCGGCGGACAUAAGUUGGUGCUCAGCAGUAAAAUCAUGGGUCUCUUUCAUAUCAUGAUAUCUACAGUAAAAAGGCUAUCUAAAUGGGGGAUUUGUUUUAAUAUCUCGGUGCACCUCAUCUCAAAUUUUGGUCAAAGGAAUGGAAUUUUAGAAAUUAGUUUGCCAAAUAAAUUUUUAUUCGGCGAUGGUUUCUCAGUAGUUCUCGGUUAUAUGUUUUUCUUGGUCAUUCGGCGAAGUUACGAGUUUCAAGGUCAUCUAGCCGAAGCUGAAGGAAAUUUUGAUAUGCGUUGACGAAUAAUUUCCUUGACCAUUCGGCUUAUGAGCCGAAGCUUAAGGAAACUGGGGGGCAAUGUUUGCGCCUGAUUUUAAACUAUCGACCUAAGUAAUCGAGACCGUUGAGUGAGCAUGGUUCUAGACCGUUGGAUAAGAAAGUUAAGAUAAUUUUUUUUUUUUUUAAAUAAUGUUAUGGUUUUUAAUCAUAAUAAUUAUCUUUUAACAAAUCAUCUUGAUUUUCUCAUACAAAACAACAGGGAUACAAAUCAUAGCCCCAAUUCAGAAGCAAGCAAAACAAUCCGAAUUAAUUUGGAUUUGUUAGCAGUGCACCGGAUUAGAGCAGUUUGGAUUUAUUUCGAAGUUUGACAUCAAAUGGGUUGCAUGCACCUAGCCUAGAUAGUUUUUUUGAAGUUUUUAAUUGCAAAGGGAUAAUUUCAAAGAUAUUUCUAUGCAUAUGGUUCAAGUGCCGUGCAAUAAUGAAAUGUCAGAUGAGGUGUUUGGCUUUGAUUACAUGUGGAUGGAGGAAAGCAUGUGGUAAAGCCACGUCACCAAAGAUCAAAUACAAUCAUUUGAAGAUCAAGUCAUGUCAAGCACAUGGGAGUUUGAAAUUGGACUUUACUUGAGGAUCAGGCUGUGCCAAGCAAGUACAUUAGUCCUAUAAAUAUAGGUGCAAUGGCAACGGAAGAAGCCCUUCCAAUUCAACACACAAACUACUCUGCGCAAACCCUCGCUCUACGCGAAACCUCUCAACAGCCUUAAGAUUUUUAUUUUCCUUUUUCGCCAACACAUCUUCAGUUUGGAUAAACAGCACUGUGAAGGCAACCGACGAACAUCUUUAGUUUGGAUAAACAACACUGUUGCUGUAGAAUCAGCCGAUCAUGAAGCACAUUCAGUUUGGAUAAACAGCACUGCGAUAUGGACGACUGGUUAUCUAUCCAAGUCUCGGUCGAGAAGGAUUUUCGCAUCCUUGUUGGCAGAGGUCAUCUCAUCAGCAUUCUCAGUGAAGUGAGGUGUUACAUGUUACUACAUUCGGCACAUUAAAAGCCGAAUUUGAUAUUGAACUUCGUAGAACUAGCAGCCUUGUCUUCAGGCUCUAGAACCCAAAGGCUGAAAGUGUUCUUUCCUCAGUCGCAGUCGUAAGAUCGAGAAGUUAGCCAUGCGCCCAACGCGACAUCAACAAAUUUUACUCAUUGGUAGAGCUCGGUCGUCAAAUUGGCACGCCCUGCACAUAACCAAAGGAUGUAGUUAGCUUAUUAAUUACUCGACCUACGCACCACGUAGGCUUGGUAGUUUUUAGGGUCAACAACUAGCAAAGGCCACACAUUCAGUGUGUGAGAACUAUUUUUUUUAUUUAUAAGAGCAGUGAUUUGUUUUUAACGAGCUGGAAAUUAAGGAGAGUAGAAAGAGCAGUGGGAGAAAAAUGUGAAAGAUAAAGGGAGGUGGGAGUAAAUUGGAGAUCACUUGUUUGUGAGGGUGAGAAAAAAAUACAGCAAAAUUGCUUAGUGUAGGGUUGGGCAAACGGGUCUAGGACCUGCGGGGCGAGGUGCGUCUUGUAGGUUCGGGGCAUGUCUAGAUUUUGUAAACUCGAAACGAGGCAAGGUAAGGUAGGUUCAUGUAAUUGGCGGGUCGAGGUGGGUGCGAAUUUCUAAAAAAAAAAAAGAGGCGCCCGGACUGGACCAUUUCCACCAUCCAUUAUAUGGAGAUUACAUCUCCACCGUUCAUUCCUAACACAUAUCUACUCUCUUUCGGUCUCUCAUCUCUCGAAUUGUCAGUUCGUUCUCUCAUAUCUUGAAUUCCCAACUCGAGCCUCGAGGUCUUCAUCUCUCAACUCCAACUACCAUCUUUUAUGUCGUGACAUUGUUUUCUUUGUCAGUCUGUACGUUAUGUUCGCCGCAAGACUUCAGCAGAGCUCUGGUAAAGAUGACCAAAAAGGACGAGGACAUCACCGCCUCUCUCGACGACUUCAUAGAGAAAGAUAUCGACAUCCUCGGUAAGUAAAAGAAGAAGUUUGAAGGGUCGAAGCUUACCAGUUGUUAGCCGCGCCUCGGUAUGUGAUUUGAGGCUCAAAUUUAUGUAAUUUAAAGCAAAAUAAGUGCUUUUAGGAAAUCUGCUUAUGGGUAUGUAUGAUUUUGUUUUGAUUCAUCAAUUGGUGUAAUUUGUAAUGGCAAGGGUGGAGGUUUUGGAUCCAUGAGGAAGACGACGUCUUUCUAGAUUGAUAUGCGUGUUAGGUUAGCGGCUGCUGGUGUGGUUGGGCUCAAGCACAAAUUGCAGAUCUUGUUAGACCCGUGAACUCAGCCCGAAUCAGCCCAUUUCAAACGGGCCAGGUUAAGUCUGAUUCCAAAUUUAUAAGUUUCAUUACUCGCCCCGCUCCACUUUGUUUCAUUUUAAAAUGGGUCCAGUCUGGUCCCUCCAAAUUUGGGCCUUAGUGUGUCAUUUACUAUAUUGCUCAUAAUUUUAUUUUAGUUAGGGGUGUGAUAUCCACACACCCCUUUUUACUUCUCACACACCCUUUAUUUAUUUCUAUCAUUUGAUAUUUUUCAAUUCAUAUGAUCCAAUGACUGGAAAUUAAAAGGGUGUAUGAAAAGUAAAAAUGGGUGUGUGAGAAGUAGGCCUGGUAAUUCCUGACACGACCCGAUAACCCGACACGACACGACACGAAAUUAACAGGUGUUCGGGUCGACACAAUAACGAAUCGGGUGGUUAUCGGGUAACCUGAUAAGCACCUGUUAAGAUAACAGGUUGAUUCGGGUAUACACGUGGGUAACACGAUACACGAUAAGCAGAAUAUUAAUUUUAUAACCCUAAAAAAAUAUUGUAAUAAUUAUAUAUAUUAAUUUAACAAUUUUAUACCCCUAAAAACUAUAAUAUAUAUAUAUAUAUAUAUAUUAAAUUAACUAUAAUAAUUAUAAUAAUUAUACAUACUAUAAUAAUUAUACCCCAAAAUAUUAACUAUCUAUAAUAAUUAUAUAUAUAUGUAUAGAUUAAAUUUUGAAUUAUAAAAACUAUAAUAAUUAUUAAUUAAUAUGUAUGCAUCCAUUGAUUUGAAUUUUGAUUCCAUAAUUGAUCCAUUCCAUUCCCUGCUGCAGUGCCACCCUUUUUGAAGAAAAAGGGAGGGAAAAUGAAAAUGAUAAGAAAAGUUGAAAAGGAAACAAAAAAGAGAGGGAAUUAGGGAAAGAUGGAUGGAUAGGGUGGAGGGAAAAGUGAAAAUUAUAUGAAAAGUUGAAAAUGAAACAAAAAAGAGAGGGAAAAAUGAAAAUUAAUAGAAGUGCAGUGGUGAGAAUAUUUUUUUUUUAAGUUAUUAACUUUUUAUCGCACAUGAUAUAUCCCACUAUUUUUAUAAUGACACGUGAUGUACUACUCUGUGUACCAGUCAAUUAUACAUACAAAAUAAAUAGAUUUAAAUCUACUUUAUAUAUAUAUACACACACACACACACAUACACCAUUGAACUUGAUGGGAUACGAAUUCUCCGAAACAAAUUUCAACGAUCACAACCGUCAAACUUGUUUGUAUAUGCUUCGAGAUCACAUCACCAAAAAAUCACAAAAAACAAACAUUCAGAGAUCAAGUAAUGAGACAAAUCUUUUCGACGGUUAUAAACGAAAAAUCACGAUUUAACGGUUAUUUUAACUCCGAUUUUGAUGAUUUUUUACAGCUACACUCCUUGACCCUAUAUGAAUACAAUGAAUGAAUUUGAUCUUCAAUUUAAAAUAUUUACACAAGUGGAUACCAUAAAAUCUUAUGUUAUACUUGAUGAAAGUAUAAAUAAAGUCUAAGUGUUAGUCAAUCUAUUGUUUUGAUGGGAUACAAAUUCUCCGAAACUAAUUUCAACGAUCCCAACCGUCAAACUUGUUUGUAUAUGCUUCGAGAUCACAUCACCAAAAAAUCACAAAAAACAAACAUUUAGAGAUCAAGUAACGGGACAAAGCUUUUUGACGAUUAUAAACGAAAAAUCAUGAUUUAACGGUUAUUUUAACACCGAUUUUGAUGAUUUUUUACAGCUACAGUCCUUGACCCUAUGUGAAUAUAAUGAAUGAAUUCGAUCUUCAAUUUAAAAUAUUUACACAAGUGGAUAACACAAAAUCUUAUGUUAUACUUAAUGAAAGUAUAAAUAAACUCUAAGUGUUAGUCAAUCUAUUGUUUUGAUGGGAUACGAAUUAUCCGAAACUAAUUUCAACGAUCCCAACCGUUAAACUUGUUUGUAUAUGCUUCGAGAUCACAUAAGCAAAAAAUCACAAAAAACAAACAUUCAAAGAUCAAGUAACGGAACAAAACUUUUCAACGGUUAUAAACGAAAAAUCACGAUUUAACGGUUAUUUUAACUCCGAUUUUGAUGAUUUUUUACAGCUACAGUCCUUGACCGUAUAUGAAUACAAAGAAUGAAUUCGAUCUUCAAUUUAAAAUAUUUACACUAGUGGAUGUGGAUAUCACAAAAUCUUAUGUUAUAUACUUAAUAAAAGUAUGAAUCAACUAUAAUAAUUAUAUAUAUUAAUUUAACAAUUUUAUACCCCUAAAAACUAUAGUAAUUAUAUAAAUAUUAAUAUAUAUAUUAAAUUAAAUUUAAAAAAUUGAUGACCAUUUGGAUCGGCUGAGAUUUAAUCUUUUGAGAAAGACUUACAACCUUGAAAACAAAAACUCUUUCAUUUUGCAUAUCCUUGCACAUUUAAUAUUUGUAAUAGAUUAGUAGUGUAUGUAUUAUUUUUUUAUUAGGCUCUUAUUUUCGAGUGUAGUUAUAGUACUUAAAUGACAAAUGUUUUAAUGUUUUGAAGUAAUAUUUAUGUGGCAAUAUGUGGUAUGUGCAAAUUUAAAAAAAAAAAUAUAUUUUUCUUAACGGGUCAUAACGGGUCAGGUCACUUUACCCGUUAGGUAAAGUGACACGACCUGUUAAGGACCCAUUAAGAUAACGGGUGUGACGACACGACCCGUUAAGAUAAUAGGUGUUACAUGAAAACGACACGAAUACGACAGACACGACCCGUUUGCCAAGCCUAGUGAGAAGUAAAAAGGUCCACACACCCCUUUAGUUAUUGUUGUUUAGUUUUGUUGAUAGGGCUAAAAUGAUCUUUUAACCCUUGACAAAGAGGGUUAUUUUGUUAUUGUUAUAAAUAUAGGUGUCCAUUAUUUAAUUUGAGUGGAUGACAUUAUGUCUGUGCAAGUAAUGACAUCAUGCAUAUGUAAACAAUGAUGUCAUGACCUAUUCAUUUGCCUAUAUAAUGAAGGCCAAGGCCACUAACAAAUAAGAGAAACAUACGGAGGAAAUGAAAGAAAAGAGGAAAGAAAGAGAGAAAAGAAAGAAGAGAUAUGCAUGAGAAAUACCAGUGAGCCAAGCUAGAGAGAAGAGGAAAAAUAGUGAGAAUUAUUUUGUAUUCCUAUUAUUUCAAAUAAUGAAAGAAAAUACUACUGGCAUCCAAAUGAUGUAGACAUACUUGUCGAACUUCAUAAAUAUUGUGUUUUAUUUACUAUAUCCAACUGCACACAUAUCCUCAAUUUUAAACAGUUUUUGAUUUUUGAUUUUAUUUCUUUUUGUCAAAUUGCCUUUUUUAAAAAAUUUGAAACUCGUUUCAUUUUUUAGUUUUAAAAAUGUGAAAACUGAAAAUAAAAAAGUAAUCCUAGUAAGUAAAUUACUUAUAGGAUUCUAUAAUAUAUUUUAUUGUAAUUGUAUUCCUUGGGGAGUAAGAUUUUUUCUCCCUUAUCACUAUAAAUAGAGGCACAACAAGGUUAAACACCAUACUAUAGAAUCACCAAAUUCUCUCUUCUAAUUAUCCUUGCCGUCGUCAAUCUCCCUCUUGUUGGGCCAUAAUUGUCCAGGGCAGGAGUGAGGCGGAUCAAAAUACGCAUACCUUAGAAGUCCGGUCAUAGACUCGACAGCCUCCGAUGUAGAGCUGAAUAAACGGAGCAGGGAUGACACCAUCAUCCUAUUCUGGAAUCAGUAGACAAAGUCUGACGACUUUGCUAAGAUUUAUCAUGCUUAUUCUGCAAGAUACGAAAACUUAAUCCAACAAGGAAUCAACAGGUUUCGUAUAAUCUUGGAGUUCUUACAAUCUAAGGAUUGACAUGUGUGACAUCCCACAUCGCCCAUGGGAGUGGAUCUUGUAAGCCUUAUAUGUAUAUUUCCAUCUCUUCGUAACACGAGGCUUUUUAGGAGCUCAUUGGCUUCGGGUUCCAUCGGAAUUCCGAAGUUAAGCUAGUUCGCGAAAGAGCAAUCCCAUGAUGGGUGACCGACUGGGAAGUUCUCGUGUGAGUUUCUAGAAACAAAACCAUGAGGGCGUGGUCGGGGCCCAAAGCGGACAAUAUCGUGUUACGACGGAGUCAAGCCCGGGAUGUGGUGGGAGCUAGGGCUAGGAUGUGACAACAUGCACCGUAAGUAAUCACAUUCGUAAAAUGAUGCAAUAUCUACUUCUUAGAUAUCUUUUGUGAUUCUCUCGGUUUGAUAAUGAUUAUAUUAUCCUAAAAUAUGCAUCUCUGCUCCCAAAAUUAUCGCAUACUUAUUAUAUUGCUUAUUGCUUAAGUCUUAUAUUGCUUACUAACUUGAUCGUUGGAGAGCCUUUGAUUAGCAUACACCACCUCCCCCCUCCCCAUGCCCCGAUUAUACUUGUUCACAGUAAUUUGUUCUUUUAUAGUUUAGUUGGAUUUGUGCAUCUUUACCGCUUACAGCGGUGUGAAUUUGGUUCCAACAAUUGGUGUUUUCAUUGAGAGUGAAAAUCAUAUUCCUCUUGACCAACUCAAUCUAUCACAGACAUGAACACAUAAGAAAGCUUUAUUAAAUCCAACACUAACAAGGUGACCGAUGACAACCUUGCCCCUGAUGUCUCAAUCCCAUCCAUUGAGAAUAAUCUUGUUGUCGACACCACCAACACUCUAGGGGCAAGCAAUCAAACCCUUCAUGCUCUAGCCACCCCAAAGGGCGGCGAUGCUUUGCCUAUUGGACCUCCCAAUAUGAGGCAUGUAUGAGAUACUUUACCAAAGAUCGACGCUUCUGUUGAUAAGUUGCAGCAUGCCUAUACUACUUUUCGGGUGAUGUCCUUCGUGGACGUCAAGAAGAGAAUGAAGGCUCUCAAAAGAUCCAGUAGGACCUUCCCACAAACUCAAAUUCCUAUUUUCGAUUAUAGCAACAUAAGUACCAUAACCCCAGAUGAAUAACUCAUCGAGCCAACUUAUACUCCAACUUUAGCAGACAUCACUAAUCCGAGUACAAACCCGCUUCAUAAUGAUCAAACUGCCAAUAACACUGCUCCAAACGGGACAAAGGUUCUACACAACCCUGGUCCCUUGGCUGUUGCAAGAGUGCACCGGAUGGAACCACGACACUGAGCUUUAACGACCCAAAGUCUUCAGAGGAGCCAAAGAGAUGUCGACUCGAUAACCACGACAUGACUAGAGAUGCCCCAAGGAAAACUCCACUUCGUAUCCCUGGUUGGACUGUCGUGAAAGUGAAAAGCACACUCUCUUCAACAAUCGAAUAUCCGCCUUCGCCUUAUAAGUUUUCUCAACCUCAAUUUAAGUACUUCUGCGGUGACACUGAUCCGGAUUACCACAUCAUGCACUAUAUGAGCGUCAUGGCGUUAUACAGCAACAACGACAUUUGGAUGUAGAAGAUGUUCUCCUCUAUCCUAGAGGGGACCGUCAUGAGGUGGUUCUCAGAGUUAUUAACUCGUUUGAUUGAUUGCUUCAAAAAUUUGGUCAACAUCUUCACCAACACCUAUUUGGUGUACUAUGAUGUCCAAAAGCAACACAAGGCCAUAUUCAUCAUGGUAGCUCAAAGCAAGGACAAAAUUCUUAAAGCUUACCUGAAGUGGUUCCACGCGAAAUCGGCUAAGGUAGAAAGGCUUGACGACAUACUUGCCAUCAUGGCUUACAAGUAAGGACUCUAUUUCAACUCGCCCUUCUCCUAGAAGCUGAACAAGAGGAAGUACGACUAUGCCACCCUAGCAGAAUGUUUGACCUCACUAACUGGGACAACAAAACCAAAAGGAAGGUUCCUUAUCAGGACCGCAGUAGGAAGCUCAAACGAAAAAGAGAAGACUAGAGCAAUCCACCUCUAUCUUCCCGUCAACAUGACAUGAGGGGACGAAAAAUAAAUCAGCUCCACUUAGAUUGAGGCAAUAUACUGACCUGCACACAAUCAUCAACAACAUUCUUCACAGCAUCAAGGACAAACCCUUCCUCGAACAGUUGGAACAUCUUCCUGAACAUCUGGUAAAUAAAAGCCAAAAGAGUAUUGCUCAUUCCACCAAUGCAUAAGCCCAUUCGAAAUUGACAAACGCUCAGAGACCACAUCGAGGAAAUCAUUAACCAAUGACACUGUUGGGAGUUUGUAAGAAGCAAGGCAAGGAAAGAAAAAGCCCCCCGAAGAAAAGGACAAAGGUGAAUCCGACAGGUACGACCUGACUGAUGACAAGGAUGACAAGAGGUCAUCAAAGAAGCUCACUCUCAACUUAGGAUUGCAGAGAGAGUGCCGUAGGUUUGAAUAGCAUCCAUCGCCUACUAUUGUGAGAGGCGCGUGUGCAUUGAGUUCUAGAUCACUACCUUUGAAUUUAUACUGCACCCCCUUGACAGUACCUUUUUCUUCCAGUAGAGAUGUCACCAUUCCUUGUUCCAAUCUUACAUUGAUGUCGAAAUUUAAGAAAUGACACACAAAUGAGACUCUAGAAGAGUAUGCAAAUCUCCUUCAUGAUGAAUCUCACAUACCAUGUAUUAUCCGAUAUCGUAUAGAUUCUUGUUAAAUACAUGGUUAAGUUUUCACAGUCUGACAACAUAGCAUGACAAACUUUCAAGCAAAGAGAAUAUAUUAAAGAUCCACUGCAAUAUGUAAUCAAAGGAUCUAUCUUUGCAUAGCAAAUACAGACCAAACGUCAAAUUAUAACAGAUACUUUAAAUAGAUGACUGAAGCGGAGGGAAAAGACCUCUAAAACUUUGAAUUAUACAACACAUGGCGAGCCUACUGAAAAAAGAAUACUAUGAAAUGUGUUUGAAGGGAAAUGAAGAGUACUUGGGAAGAGAUGAAGCUUUUUCCCGCAUCCUUUGAAUGAAACGCCCGUGGUGAAAGCUUCUCCCAGCCCACAUCAGGAUGGAAGUUUUCCAAAGGAUAUGGCAGCUUGGUACUUUUUCCAUCCUUGUAAAGAGCAUAUCCGAAAACCCGUUGAGCAUCAAUCUCAUUUACACAAUCUUCAACCAAACAGAAAUAUUAACAAUUAUGUAGUUGUCUAACUCAUAGUGGAAAUAAAUGAGGAGAACAGUUAUGGAACAUUCAUAUAAGUCCUCAGGUUUAUACUUCUUUACUUCUUUGCUUAUCCUCAAGGCCUAACUCAACUAAUCUGAGAUAUCCCCCUGGUUGCAGCAGCUCGCCGACGAUUCUGUCUGGCUCACUCAAGUCCCUUUCAACCACAUGCACUCGGCGCCCAUCCUGCUGUAUGCAGACAUUGUAAACAAAACAUAGCAAUAGUAAGAAGACAAGACAUGAUAACUUAGAUUUGUGCAAAUUGUAAAUAUUAUGAUCCUGAUGUUACUAAAUACAAUGUAACAAAAAUAUAUGAAAGGAUUUUCC